RNAcentral lists this ribosomal RNA (460 nucleotides) under uncultured bacterium. RNAcentral describes it as "partial 16S ribosomal RNA". It matches the Rfam family "Bacterial small subunit ribosomal RNA", at positions 338 to 795 of the family's 1533-position model. The record is from RNAcentral.
CCUACGGGGGGCAGCAGUGAGGAAUAUUGGUCAAUGGACGAGAGUCUGAACCAGCCAAGUAGCGUGAAGGAUGACUGCCCUAUGGGUUGUAAACUUCUUUUAUAUGGGAAUAAAAUGUUCCACGUGUGGGAUUUUGUAUGUACCAUAUGAAUAAGGAACGGCUAACUCCGGGCCAGCAGCCGCGGUAAUACGGAGGAUCCGAGCGUUAUCCGGAUUUAUUGGGUUUAAAGGGAGCGUAGGUGGAUUGUUAAGUCAGUUGUGAAAGUUUGCGGCUCAACCGUAAAAUUGCAGUUGAAACUGGCAGUCUUGAGUACAGUAGAGGUGGGCGGAAUUCGUGGUGUAGCGGUGAAAUGCUUAGAUAUCACGAAGAACUCCGAUUGCGAAGGCAGUUCACUGGACUGCAACUGACACUGAGGCUCGAAAGUGUGGGUAUCAAACAGGAUUAGAUACCCCUGUAGUC